ACAUGCAGUCGAACGAUGAUGCCCAGCUUGCUGGGUGGAUUAGUGGCGAACGGGUGAGUAACACGUGAGUAACCUGCCCCUGACUCUGGGAUAAGCGUUGGAAACGACGUCUAAUACUGGAUAUGACUGCCGGCCGCAUGGUCUGGUGGUGGAAAGAUUUUUUGGUUGGGGAUGGACUCGCGGCCUAUCAGCUUGUUGGUGAGGUAAUGGCUCACCAAGGCGACGACGGGUAGCCGGCCUGAGAGGGUGACCGGCCACACUGGGACUGAGACACGGCCCAGACUCCUACGGGAGGCAGCAGUGGGGAAUAUUGCACAAUGGGCGAAAGCCUGAUGCAGCAACGCCGCGUGAGGGAUGACGGCCUUCGGGUUGUAAACCUCUUUUAGUAGGGAAGAAGCGUAAGUGACGGUACCUGCAGAAAAAAGCACCGGCUAACUACGUGCCAGCAGCCGCGGUAAUACGUAGGGUGCAAGCGUUGUCCGGAAUUAUUGGGCGUAAAGAGCUCGUAGGCGGUUUGUCGCGUCUGCUGUGAAAUCCCGAGGCUCAACCUCGGGCUUGCAGUGGGUACGGGCAGACUAGAGUGCGGUAGGGGAGAUUGGAAUUCCUGGUGUAGCGGUGGAAUGCGCAGAUAUCAGGAGGAACACCGAUGGCGAAGGCAGAUCUCUGGGCCGUAACUGACGCUGAGGAGCGAAAGCGUGGGGAGCGAACAGGAUUAGAUACCCUGGUAGUCCACGCCGUAAACGUUGGGCGCUAGAUGUAGGGACCUUUCCACGGUUUCUGUGUCGUAGCUAACGCAUUAAGCGCCCCGCCUGGGGAGUACGGCCGCAAGGCUAAAACUCAAAGGAAUUGACGGGGGCCCGCACAAGCGGCGGAGCAUGCGGAUUAAUUCGAUGCAACGCGAAGAACCUUACCAAAGGCUUGACAUACACCGGAAACGGCCAGAGAUGGUUGCCCCCGUUGUGGUCGGUGUACAGGUGGAGCAUGGGGUUGUCGUCAGCUCGUGUCGUGAGAUGUUGGGUUAAGUCCCGCAACGAGCGCAACCCUCGUUCUAUGUUGCCAGCGCGUUAUGGCGGGGACUCAUAGGAGACUGCCGGGGUCAACUCGGAGGAAGGUGGGGAUGACGUCAAAUCAUCAUGCCCCUUAUGUCUUGGGCUUCACGCAUGCUACAAUGGCCGGUACAAAGGGCUGCGAUACCGUAAGGUGGAGCGAAUCCCAAAAAGCCGGUCUCAGUUCGGAUUGAGGUCUGCAACUCGACCUCAUGAAGUCGGAGUCGCUAGUAAUCGCAGAUCAGCAACGCUGCGGUGAAUACGUUCCCGGGCCUUGUACACACCGCCCGUCAAGUCAUGAAAGUCGGUAACACCCGAAGCCGGUGGCCUAACCCUUGUGGAAGGAGCCGUCGAAU
This 1402-nucleotide ribosomal RNA is filed under the name Curtobacterium. RNAcentral's name for it is "bacterial SSU rRNA". It matches the Rfam family "Bacterial small subunit ribosomal RNA". RNAcentral also lists the same sequence under 1 other name. Lineage: Bacteria; Bacillati; Actinomycetota; Actinomycetes; Micrococcales; Microbacteriaceae. The record is from RNAcentral.